RNAcentral lists this microRNA precursor (206 nucleotides) under Oryza nivara. RNAcentral's name for it is "MIR812 microRNA precursor family". It matches the Rfam family "MIR812 microRNA precursor family". The record is from Rfam by way of RNAcentral. Lineage: Eukaryota; Viridiplantae; Streptophyta; Magnoliopsida; Poales; Poaceae.
AAUAUUUGACGCCGUUGACUUUUUUAAACAUGUUUGACCGUUCGUCUUAUUCAAAAAAUUUAAGUAAUUAUUAAUUCUUUUUCUAUCAUUUGAUUCAAUGUUAAAUAUAGUUUUAUGUACGCAUAUAGUUUUACAUAUUUCAUAGAAGUUCUUGAAUAAGACGAACGGUCAAACAUACUUUAAAAAAGUCAAUGGCGUCAAAUAUU